This 205-nucleotide ribosomal RNA is filed under the name Penicillium poederi. Its description in RNAcentral is "Penicillium sp. MK-2017a 5.8S ribosomal RNA". The stretch from base 49 to 202 matches the Rfam family "5.8S ribosomal RNA". From Rfam's summary of the family: 5.8S ribosomal RNA (5.8S rRNA) is a component of the large subunit of the eukaryotic ribosome. The record is from RNAcentral. Lineage: Eukaryota; Fungi; Ascomycota; Eurotiomycetes; Eurotiales; Aspergillaceae.
AACGCUGUAUGAAGAUUGCAGUCUGAGCUUAAAAGCUAAAUUAAUUAAAACUUUCAACAACGGAUCUCUUGGUUCCGGCAUCGAUGAAGAACGCAGCGAAAUGCGAUAAAUAAUGUGAAUUGCAGAAUUCAGUGAAUCAUCGAGUCUUUGAACGCACAUUGCGCCCCCUGGUAUUCCGGGGGGCAUGCCUGUCCGAGCGUCAUUG